UUUAAACCCUAAAUAUGAUUUGAAAUUAUUCUUAUAUCA
RNAcentral lists this transfer RNA (39 nucleotides) under Orobdella tsushimensis. RNAcentral describes it as "partial tRNA-Leu". The record is from RNAcentral. Lineage: Eukaryota; Metazoa; Annelida; Clitellata; Hirudinida; Orobdellidae.